Long non-coding RNA from Hevea brasiliensis (rubber tree), 576 nucleotides. RefSeq lists it as uncharacterized. The record is from RefSeq and is a predicted model, not a curated record. NCBI's taxonomy places the organism in Eukaryota, Viridiplantae, Streptophyta, Magnoliopsida, Malpighiales, Euphorbiaceae. The transcript has 2 exons.
GCGAUCAUCGGACGGUCAAGAUCGUUUAGUGAGAAUUUUGAGCUUUUUUUUAUUUUUAAAAAUUAAAAAUAAUUUUAUGAUAAUUAUUAAUAAUUUUUUGGUAUAAUUUAGGUACGAUCGGAUCGAUAAUAGUUCAUUAGCGUCAUGGCUGCAUUUUUCGGUCAGAUCUGACUGUCUGACGGCCUGUCUUGAAACAUGAUCGAUAUUAUAGUCAAUCCUAACAUUUUCAGACGUUCUGGACACGAUGCAGGUGUCAGAUUUUACAUAGUCUGUCACUUUGCCAGAGAUCCAACAGACAGAGGUAGGAGAAAUUGAGCAAUCCAUCAAUUUCUCCAAUACAAACACCACAAUUGGUUUUCAACGCCAUAAUUUUUCCUUCUAUGUAUAGUUUUAGAAUGACAUGUAUACUCUCACUUAAAAAAAAAAAAAAAAACAUAUACUUUCAUAACGCAUAGUCAAAUAAAUUGAAAGAAGUAUUAUCUAGGGUGUUAUCCAUUUUGCUUGAUGGGGAUGUGUUUGAUAAAUGUACGCAAUUAACUCAUAAAUCAUGAAGCUAUCAAGGGUCUUUAAUCCUUA